GCUCAUGUGGUGUAGUGGCCAAUCAUGAAGCCCUCUCGAGGCUUCAACACGGGUUCGAAUCCCGUCGUGAGCA
RNAcentral lists this transfer RNA (73 nucleotides) under Candidatus Methanomethylophilaceae archaeon. RNAcentral describes it as "tRNA-Glu". It matches the Rfam family "tRNA". Rfam says of the family: Transfer RNA (tRNA) molecules are approximately 80 nucleotides in length. Their secondary structure includes four short double-helical elements and three loops (D, anti-codon, and T loops). Lineage: Archaea; Methanobacteriati; Thermoplasmatota; Thermoplasmata; Methanomassiliicoccales; Methanomethylophilaceae. The record is from RNAcentral.